CGGGAAACUGGGGAUAAUACCCGAUGGUCCUCGGCUGCUGGAAUGCAUCGCGGCCGAAAGCUCCGGCGCCUAAGGAUGGGUCUGCGGCCUAUCAGGUAGUAGUGGGUGUAGCGUACCUACUAGCCUACGACGGGUACGGGUUGUGAGAGCAAGAGCCCGGAGAUGGAUUCUGAGACACGAAUCCAGGCCCUACGGGGUGCAGCAGGCGCGAAAACUUUACAAUGCUGGCAACAGCGAUAAGGGAACCUCGAGUGCCAGGUUACAAAUCUGGCUGUCGUGAUGCCUAAAAAGCAGUGCAUAGCAAGGGCCGGGCAAGACCGGUGCCAGCCGCCGCGGAACA
Molecule: ribosomal RNA, 340 nt
Filed under: uncultured archaeon
Lineage: Archaea
Description: partial 16S ribosomal RNA
Rfam family: Archaeal small subunit ribosomal RNA
Source: RNAcentral